UCGCAGUGGUAGUUGCUUGCAGACGGACUUCUUAAGAUGUUACGGGGAAACCCUACGUGCACGGAAAAAUGGUUUAAAUCGCAUAAAAAGUGCAUCGUUCGUGGCUAAGGAUAUCGCGUUCGGUUGGCGGAACGUGCAACGCGUGUUUUGUGAUAGUUUUGGUUUAGAAGUUCUCGUGAAAAAGGGGGAAAAAUAGUGAAAAGAGGUUGAAAUUUUCGAGGAUCUGUUGGGCGAUUGGGUCGAGAAGAACGCACACAGUGUAAGAGAGGGUGAUCAUCGUGGAUCGUGCGCAACACGACACCACCACAGCUACGGUGAAGGGUCUUAUUGGGGUCCAUGCAUGCUGUUGCAAGGCGGUGUGGCAUCUCGUGCGUGUGAGUAAACGGGCCACCGUUUGUUUAUGUGAAAUUGUUGGAAUUCCUUCGGUCCGAUCAUCAUCAUAUCUAUACGUAGGCAUAGGCUGGUUGGUGGCCCAUGCUGGCGACGAUCCCGGUGUGUUGUUAUUUUGCCUGGCCUGCUGCGAUCAGUUGUUAAACCAGUGUGCAUCGGUAGGAGAAUGUUUCGACUUCGGAGGCGGCGACAGCAGUGCGCGGAAUAAAGAGAAGAGAAAUAUUUCCCUUCGGGGAAAGAAGGAAGAAAAUCCACAUUUCUCCUCGGUAGUGGCAAUAACAGCGGUGCGCGCUCUGUCGCCAAUGUGACCGAUUUAAUCAUUUAUUGUGAAACGAAUUACCGAGCAAUUAGUGGCAGGAAAUCGAUAAGAGCUCAUUUAUGCUGAGUGCUACACUGAAAGGAAGACAAGUUUCUGAUUUAUAUGAUUAAAAGUGUAUCUUUAGAUCACAGAAGUCAUUACCUAAAAGUGGUGCAAGAAAGUCUAAAUAAACGAGCAAGUAAACGAGGGCAUUGAAUGACCCUUCAUAAGUGUUUCAGUGGAAAAGUGAAAAACGGUGCAACAAUACUGCCAUUUGCAUGGUGCCAUUUUCCCAUACUCAAAUGAAGUGCAGUCUCUUUGACUGAUGAAGACAACGAUAACUACACUAGAUUCCAUGUAGCACGACAGCGCGUGGUGGAACGAAGAAAGUUGCAUGUAAAUGACAAACACGACACAACCCGAGAGAUGAGUUCAUCGACCAAGACAGAAAAACACUCAGGAAUUGCACCACUGUCUGUCUUGGAUAUCCUAUAGCGCCCAAGUCGCCACAAGGAGCGCCAGAAUGGCGGAAUUCCUUCCCCUCUGUGAUGUGCUGUUCAACGUGAUCUCACUGGCCGGCUACUUCUGCGACGUGGUGUUCGACGUCGUGCUCGGCUACGCCCUGUACGAAAGGCAAAAGUUUGCCCAUUUUGCAGCCGUAAUCGUUAUCGUUAGCUUUUCGCUCGUAAUAUCACAGAUUGUUUCCGUCCGGUGGUAUUUGAACAAGCGGAAAUUAAGAGGUUCUACAGCGGCCACUACGGGACCUCCUGCGGAUGGUCCCGAUAGUUCAGAGAACAGUUUGGAGAAGAAGAAAAAGAAGCCUCCGAUUGAGCAGGUUACAAAGGCGGCGAAAUACAGCCGGUAUGCCGUACUGGCGCUACACGCCACCCAGUUGGGAGUCUUGUGGCGAUACGCGAAGCUUUUUGUACCGGUAGACCUGCGGCAUGUGAAGCACGAGGUCCGUGACCUGUGCAUGCUCCGGUUGGUGCAUGCAUUUUGUGAAGCUGCGCCGAUGUUGCUGUUGCAGUUGUACGUGCUGAUCAACUUGCAGACCGAGAACCACCUGAACACGUUGAAGCUGAAGGCACUGGCCAGUAGUCACCAUCUAUCCAGCACGGCCUUGGUGCAGCAGACGAGUCUUGCCGAGCAGCAGCAGAAAACGUUCCGGGAUCUAAACAUGGUUUCGGCAACGUUGUCCCUCUUCAGCGUCUGCUGGGCGUUGGCCAGUUUCAGCAAGAACGUGCGUCUUCAGAACGUUCACCGGCUGGUACUGACUUGGUUGGGCGUGAUAUUUCAGUUUCUGUGGCGACUCGGCACGGUGAUAUCGCGAGUUAUUUCGUUGACUGUCUAUGCGUCGGUGUACAGCCAUUGGGUGUUUCUCGUCAUAAUCCUUCACUGGUUCUCGAUGUUCCUGUGGCUCAUCUCGCCAAAAAAUGUGUUCCAUGGAGAGCGAAUUUCAAGACUGAAGAAAGCCAUGCUCGGAGGACUGAUUGCCUUCGUCUACAUAUUUGCCUACAUAAAUCUGCAGGAAGUGAAGCAUCGACAAAAAAUGCUAACCUUUUACGUGGUCAUGUUCAUGGAAAACUGUCUCCUGGUGUGCCUCUGGAUGGUUGGUAUAUGGCAUAAUCGUCCCGAAGGAUGGUACACAAUACCGAUUUCCGUACUGUGUAGCUUCGCCAUCGGAUUGUUCUUCAUGAUAGUCUACUAUCGCUAUUUUCACGUUAGACGGUUGGGCUAUGAAGCUGGUGGGCGGGCUCCAUGCACAGAUGGCGCGAGCAAGUGCGGCCACUGUUUGGAUUCCUGUCGGUGUCCGGAAAACGUGGAACAUGUGGAGAUUAGCAAAUUCACGGGAGGAUGCGGUAGCCAGAAGUACCCUCAUGCCAUACCGGGUGUGUUCAAUUGUCGAUUUUCCAAUCCGGUGAAUGCUGCUACCAAGAGGAAAAAGAAGAAACCUACCACGUUCGUACCGCCUCCGAAUCUUUCCAUGCAGCCAAACACUACCGAGCCGGGCACGCCCAUUGGUCCUAUGGCCAUACCGUUUUGGAGAAGACCUCUACCGCGAUCGCACACUGGAGGAUCCAGCGAGAACGAAGGAAGUAGUGUGGGAUCACGGGUGAACAUCCAGCAGAAAUUGCAGGAGAAGAAGCAGAAGCAAUUGGCGGAGUUGAAGAUCAUCGAGGAGGAAAUCAAACAGGGUAAACUCGGUGGACCCGGCACGGGUACUCUCAGUUCAGGAGACGAUGCCAAAGCCACUCUGCCGAGGCAACCGAUUCCUCGGGUCAAGAAGCACAUCGACAUUGAUCCGAUGGAUUGGCGACCUUCAAGUCCGGAUAUGGCGGAAAUGGUCGUCGAAAAGUCCUUCAAUGAUCUCAACCUGCUGCUGGCAGCUAACCUAGACGAUGUAAAUAAUUUAAAUAAAUUUAACUCUAACUACGAUCCCAUCUACAACAGCUUCGGCCUAAACGGAAUCAACAUUUCCGCACUAGUAACCAUGAAAAAUGCCGAAAGUCAACAGGCGUCAGCUAACAAUAGGAACAUGUCUCCCAUUUCCUCCCAAAUCUCGGCAACGGAAAGCAACUCCCUAACUCGCCAAGUUCACCCACGAACCAAAAUGCUGCCAAACAACGUGCCAAGAAAUCCGUUUGCCGAGAACUAUCGAGGAGGAAACUUUGUAAAUCUGUAUGCCGAAGCCGCUGCCAACGGACAUCGGCCACCGUCGAUCAGUCCGCGAAAUGCAGACGUAACGACAGCGAAUCGUGCCGUACUAUACGACAACCACAGUCGACUUUACAUGGAUGCAAAUCAUCCACGGCAAGUGUCCGGGACGUACAGUAGCAUGGAGAACGCCGGUGCCGAAAAUCUACCUUUUCCGUAUAAUGUGGUUCCGCCGCCGCGAAGCAAGCUGGACAGCCGUGCAACUCCCACCAUGCACAACAACAACAGUGCCACCAACACGGGCAGCAGUAGCGGGCACAACAACAAUAGCAGUAGCACCACUAGUAACCAUAACGUACUGCCGGUGACGGCGAUCAACAAUCUGAACAAUACCAAACGACAGAUGCAACGGGCCAACACGCCGGAGAUUCUGCUGGCACCGCACUACCUGGAGAACUCCCGCAUCUACUACGACUGGGUGGCACGGGAGGCGGCCAAUCUCAGAAUACAAGAAGCGGAAAGGAAUCAAUCGGUCGUGAGCAGCGGAGAUGAAAAUCUCGACAACACUGCAGUGGACGACGGUCAUAAUGGCCAUCGGAUACCGUCCGACAUUGACAGUCAGGUAUCUCUUCCCCGAUCGUACACCUUGCCACGUGAGUUCAAGUACUACCGGCGGAACAAGGGUCGCAAAACGAUCAAAAACGAACACUUCAUCGCCAGCACAAACAGUAGCGACGGUGACGUCGACAGCGGCGAUGACAACGAGUCCGAACAUCAUUCAAACAUUUCCAACAAUUCCCAGCAACGACUAAAGAACGCCACCCCGAACUCGAACCUGGGCGGCGCUGGAACGCAGCGGUUGAACAAUCUGAACAAGAACUCCGUCGCCAUGCACUACGGGCAGAACAUUUCCCCAAGUGCAACCAUGCUGGCCAAUUCCGGCGGGCCAUCGACGCUGAUCGCAUCUAGACAGGUGCUGAAUGCCACACCCCAGAGUAUGCACAGCAUGGUCAACGGGUACGACAACAACCUGAUGGCGAACAGCGUCAAGCAAGUCCACAGCCUGGACCUGAUCAAUGGGGUGGACAGCGCGAUGCAGGCCGGCGGCGGACCCAGCAGUGGACCAGUAUCCUACAACAGCAGACCCAUGCGGUUACGGAUGUACAACACCAAGAACGGGAUGGUUCGACACGAAACUAAGUUAUGAUUCACGCACUUGUAUUUUUGAGCCAAGUUCGGUCAACGGAUUGCCGAAAAUUUCGCAGAAAUCUCGGCAAAUUUGUCUGUUGGCUUUUUGGUAAUCUGUUUACUGAGCAGGCAGAAAAACGUGCCCAUGUACUAAUAAAGUUAAAUUAGAUAAUUUAUCUAGCGUAUUGUAGUUAGGUAGCAUGUUAUUAUCAAUGAAAGAAGAAAAAUAGCGAAAGCGAAACUUAUUUUGGAGAAUAUUGAAUACCUUCUUGUGAUAUAAUUUUAAUGUUUUUCAUAUUGAAGAGUCGUUGCUUUCGGCAACACACUGUGAGAAAAGCGAUAAAAAAGAAGAGACUGGCGCUUUAAAAUAACUAUUUUGAAAAAAAAACUUCAUGUGAAUAGUUUUUACACCAUAACUCGAGACAAAAAUGUUAUUUACUUUAUUACACUGAGAACUUAGAUAAUUUCCUGUAACUCACAUAGCAUGUAAGCUGAUUAGAAAUACAUUUUUAAUAAAACUAAUUAUUUAUUUUUUUUUUUCGUGGAAAAGAAAUCCCGGUUAUGAUUUGGGUGUGAACUGGGCGAGGAUACCACAUCACUGCAUCUAACUCAAACAAAAGGCCUAACGGGUGAAUCAAACUCCACCGAGGUUUGGUCAUUUACGUAGAGCAUUGUUCAAACACAUCCGUUGGAGUUGAAAUAUCACACUCCGAGUGCUUGCAGGUCCUCCUCGAGCAUGGUCCAUGUCUCGUGUCCGUAGAGGACCACCGAUCUUAU
RNA transcript from Aedes albopictus (Asian tiger mosquito), 5308 nucleotides. RefSeq lists it as uncharacterized. The transcript has 8 exons. The record is from RefSeq and is a predicted model, not a curated record. Lineage: Eukaryota; Metazoa; Arthropoda; Insecta; Diptera; Culicidae.